Poecilia reticulata (guppy) is the source of this 3724-nucleotide non-coding RNA. Lineage: Eukaryota; Metazoa; Chordata; Actinopteri; Cyprinodontiformes; Poeciliidae. The record is from RefSeq and is a predicted model, not a curated record.
AUGUCAGCUCUAGUCUGACAACGUUCUGUCGCUAACUUAUAACAAAUGUUAAUUCAUAACAUAAUUGUAAAAAUUAACGCUUUAAAUGCGCAUAUCCUUUCUUUUCAGCCUUGGAAUAUCAAAUGCAGCUCUCUGGCUGUGAUAGUGAGCGAAUUAACUGAACGUAAACACUGCAAUGGCUAAUUAUUAGUUCCGUGUUGGAUAUGAGAGUUUUACGUUCACUGCUGUGCUCCUCUGCUCCGCUACUCUGUGUUUUUCGUGUUCGUUUCUGGGACCGUAUGGUUUCUAAACGGAAAGCAUGGUUGUCCUUAUCCGUCCAGCGUUGGUGCACUUCGGAAGCUUCUGGGUUGUCAUCCGAUCAUCUGAGCUCUGGACCUGACAAAUACCAGCAAUUAAAGAAGCAUUUUGUAAGGAAACUGAAGGCAACAUACCACAGGUUCCACAGUAUACCUGAUUACUCCGUGGUGUGCGGAUGUCACCAUGUGUACUUCAUCAAAGCUGACGGCAUCUACAGAACAGACAAAAGAGAUCGUACUGCAGAGCCUGAGCAGGUGUUAAAUCUGGAACAUGCAUCGAGGGCAGAAAGGAGGACGAGAGCUAAGAGUGAAGGGAAGGUUCAGUGGACAAUUCAGAGAAUUCGUCUGUCUCCACAUGAAAAGCAUCUCGCUGCCACUCUGAAAUGUUGUCACACAGAAGAGCUGAAGUGUGUUGUUGUGAGACUUGGAGAGAGAAAUAUUUCCAUUUUGCCCCCCCACUACAUCCUUCUGGAGCUACAGAGCGUCUUCAGCUUUGAGUGGGCGACGGAUGAUGUCCUGUUUUACACAACUCUGGAAGGCCUGAGCUCCAGCUCAGUGUUUCGCCUGGACCUCGCCUCCGAAGGCAGCGGCAAAGUAACGUCCGUGUACGAGGAAACUCAGCCUGAUGUGUUUGUGGAGGUCGCCCUGUCCAGAGACCGACAGAUCCUCACCAUUAACUGCAACAGUAGAACAAGUUCAGAGGUGAUGCUGAUUGAUGUGACAAAGUCCCGUUUAGAGCCUUUUGUGAUUCAGCCUCGUCAGCUGGACCUCCUCUAUCAUGUGGAGCACUGGAAAGGAUCGCUCAUUAUACUGGCUAAUACUGGGCCAGGACAGGAGUACCAGGUGAUGCAAUCUCCCACAUCUGAGCCAUCAAUGGCUUCGUGGGCGUCUUUAUUUGUCCCUAACCCUGACACUACAAUCAAAGACAUGGACGUAGUUGGAGACUACUGUUUGUUGGUUCUAAGGACACCAGCCAAUGAACUCGCUUUAAGCGUGAUGUCACUGCGCAAUCCCAAAGAAACAUACAUUAUAGAGCUCCCCUCCUGGGCUUGCUCUAUUGAAACCAAGAAACUGGGCUUGGCAGACCGGCAAGACGUGUUAGAGUUCCUGUUAUCAUCUCCCGUCCACCCACCUGUCCCAUUCUCGCUGGAUCCUGAGAAAGGACUCCUGUUGUCAGACUCAGGAACUCAGGCCCACUCUGAGAGUCACGACAAGUACAUCACCACACGCUUGAAGGCCUGCAGCCAAGAUGGCACUUUAGUGCCAGUGACGCUCCUCCAUGCCGUAUCUGUGGAGGAUCUGAGUCAGGCACCUUUGCUUGUACAUGUAUACGGAGCUUAUGGUAGAAACCUCAGUAUGGAGUUCUGCCCAGUGAGGCGUUUUCUGUUGGAGCAAGGCUGGGCGCUGGCCUACUGUCAUAUUAGAGGCGGGGGGGAGCGUGGCCUCUCUUGGCACAGACAAGCCCGGGUGGAAGGGAAGCGGAGGGGAGUGGAGGACCUCCAGGCCUGUCUCCAGAAGCUUUUCUCUUCGGGAGUCUCCUCUGCUUCACUCACGGCCCUCACAGCCUGCAGUGCUGGAGCCGUACCAGUGGCGGCGCUGUGCAACUGGAAGCCAAACACUAUGCGUGCUGUGACGCUGCAGGCUCCUUUUCUCGAUGUGUUGGGAACCAUGGAGAAAGCUGCUCUGCCGCUGACUGUGGAGGACAGAGAUGAGUGGGGCGACGCAGUGGGAAACCUGAAUCACAGACACAUCAUCGCUUCAUACUGUCCCCUUCACAACAUCACUCCGCAGCGCUACCCAUCUAUGCUACUGACAGCCUACAGCGGUGAUCCCAGGAUUCCUCUGGAAGGUGUCCUCAAAUAUGCCAAAUAUACAAAGAAAGCCAUUCAUAUGCACUUAAACAGGGAGCAAAAUGCAGAUUGUGAAUCGGCACCAAGCAUAGUUCUGAACGUUCAACCAGGAGCAAACCAUCUUGGGCCUGAAGACUUUGUUCAGAUGCUGGAAGAGUAAGUCGUCGGUGUGCCGGGGAGGGUCAGUAGCAUCAGGUUGAUGGCACGAACAUACAUCCGACCGGCACUGGAGCCGAUUCUAGGCCUGUCAUGGUUUCCGACCUGGUUGCAGUGGAGAAGAAUUAAGUGAAUAUUUACCACCCAGUUGGGCCAUUUUCCGCUGGGCAUGUUGGACAUCCAGAGGUCAACCAGAUGUUUAGCCCACCAGCCGCUGGUGUUCUGAGGCAGGUCCAGCAGGUUGGGCUGAUGGAAUGCAAGUAGAAAACAAAUACAAGACUCCGACUUUGAAGCAGAACCGAGGGAAAGUUUUCCUCUAGCUUUACAGCCGGUUCCAAGACCCAGCGUUACAUGUUUAACUGAAUCAACCUGCUUCGCUCCUCAAUUUCCGUUUAAAGGCCAGUGACUCACAGCUGAUGCGCCGGGUUGCGUGGGUAACUCCAAACCACUCGGCUUACAUCGUCACCGAACAAACGAGCCAUUAUGCCAACCACUAACUCACAAACACGGUGGUGUUUUUGUAGUUAUUAUUACCAGCCAUAAACAUUUAAAGCAGUUAUAAAAAGCCACAGAUAGGUUUAUAGCUGCAUUUCCAAUUUUACAACAGACCAUAAAUUACUUUUGUUUGAUAGUCUACAGAUGUAAAACUCUGUAAGUGUGAUCUAAAAUCAAAGUCUGAGUCAGUCCCAGCAUUACAGCAUUAGUCCACAGUGGUCAGUAAAUCCCAGUGACUUGCUAAUCUUCUAAAAUAUGCUUCUUUUCUACUAAUCUUUUCUGUCGGGGAGGAGGGGUGGAAAGAAAACUGCCUCCGCAAGGUUUUCUUUACUUAUGUCAGAGUGUGUCAUUAAGUCUUUGAAUUGCAAUUACAGUGUUUUCUUAAGAAAAGCGCAGGAUGAACCUGACAUUUAAGCCAGCGAUAAAUAAUAAAUGGCACACGGCGUACAGCGUACAGCGAGAAACAUCCCACUCAGCUGUUACGGGCUGUUCCGCCGGCUCCGGUCGGCCGAGGUGUUUCUGCCCACGCCGCUGCUUUCAUGCAUCUCAUUAUUCUAAUCUGGACUCUGACACGCCACUUUAUGAGUCAAUGAAAUAAAAUCGGGAUUAUAUAACGGAAGGUUAAAGCGGGGAUUGUUAACUGAGCUGAACUUUGAGCGGUGGGAGUUACAGCGGCAAUUAAAAUUUAACACGACGAGCGAGAAAGAAAAAAAAAAAAAAGCUGAGGAUUUGUGAGAAUGUAUCAUCACGGGAAAAGAAUGAAACCGUUUUUAUGCUUCGUGCCGUCGUUCGCUUGUGAAAAGGUGGACAGCGUUCGGUCUGCUACUUCUUGACAGAACCAAUUCAUUUGAUGCGAGUUUGGAUUGCAUGUUGUCGUGCUUAAAUUUCUUCCACAUUUUGUCACAUUAAACCACAAACUUCUGUAUA